ACAGGAUUUGGUACCCUGGUAGUCCAUGCUGUAAACAAUAAAUAUUAAAUAUUUGAUCUGGUUAAACAUAUAAUUUUAUAUGGGAAGAAAAUCAUUUUAGAUUUUAACAUCAAAUAUUAAAAGUUAACACGUUAAAUAUUUCGCCUGGGGAGUAAAACCGCAAGGUUGAAACUCAAAGGAAUUGACGGGAGCUUAUACUUACGGUGGAGCAUGUGGUUUAAUCCGAUAGUCCGCGUGGAAUCUUACCAAUUUUUGACAGUUAUUUAGUUUUGAUUAAAUAAACAGGUGUUGCAUGGUCGUUGUCAGCUUAUGUUUUGAAAUUUUAUAAGUAUAACCUCUUAAUUUAAUUUACUAAUAUUUAGAAAAAUUUUUAAACUAAAAAUUACUAAGUAAGUACUAUUAAAUUAGAAAUAUAAAAGUUUUUUUAUAUUUUAUGAGGAUGAAAAUAGAUCGUUAUGACCCU
This 463-nucleotide ribosomal RNA is filed under the name Blastocystis sp. RNAcentral's name for it is "partial small subunit ribosomal RNA". It matches the Rfam family "Bacterial small subunit ribosomal RNA", at positions 772 to 1202 of the family's 1533-position model. Lineage: Eukaryota; Bigyra; Opalinata; Blastocystidae. The record is from RNAcentral.